Molecule: long non-coding RNA, 1091 nt
Organism: Asterias rubens (European starfish)
Lineage: Eukaryota; Metazoa; Echinodermata; Asteroidea; Forcipulatida; Asteriidae
Exons: 6
Source: RefSeq, a predicted model, not a curated record
AUGAUGACUUUGCCCAAUGGCAACACCUCUAGAUCUGUGUAAUAUUAUGCAAAUUAGUUUCUUAAAGUACAGGAAGUAAUGAUGAAGUUGAUCAAGAGAGGGCCUCAUCUUGAUAACGCAUUCUUCAUCACAUGACACACCUAGCCGCGCAAUUGGAAGACAAAAUGGACGACGUCAAAGUGUCUCUGUGUUUUACUCACCAACAAAUUCAAGUUUUUACUGACUGCCAAGGCUACAAUUGCCACAAAAGUGUGGAGGUCAACCAUUGUCAAAUGGAACCUACCUCUUCGUCAACAAAGGUCAUGAUGAUCGUCAGCCAAUGCAGCUCAGCAUCAAGAUUCGAGGAUAUCGUCUCCCAUCGACAGCCUGGGGAUUGUCAUCUUCCAAGGGGUCUGCUCGCCAAUCAAAUGUCUAUGACCUGGCAAUGUACAUGAGUCUGAGAACGGUUCUCUCCUUUGUAAAAGUUAACAUGACUUGAGAUCUACCAAUCCACAAAGAGAAUGUCUGUGCAGUGAACGUCAACCUGGCCGAAGACGUCAACCUGGCCGACGAGAUGUGCUAAUAACUAUGAAGGUGUCCCAUAUUCAGAUGACUACCUAUCGCAAGAUUCCUGAUGUUUGCAAAUGCCUAUCACUAGGCCAAUAACUUGCCACCACCAUCGUGAUAUGGGUUAGGCCUACAGCGGAGCAUGAGAAAACUACAUCUUAAAGGCUUUGCGGAGACCAGCACUCAUUGUCUUCAAGCAUCCUACACGUCUACAAGGAACAAUGAAUGAACAACCUAGCAGUUGGAUUUCAUUUGUAAGAUAGUAAAAUUAUUAAUGUCAUUUACAUCUUAAAUAUUAUCUACAUGAAUGUUUUUGUCACUAAACUAUAUGUGCACCAUUUGCAAGCAAGCAAUACUUUAAAGAUCUGAUGGCCAAAUGUGCUUUGAAAUAAUAAUAGUAAUAAUAAUAAUACUGUCUUUUUACAUAGCUCAUAUCUUGCAUAGCUCAUGUCACCCAGUGACACCCCUGGCGCAAGGUGUGUGGGACUACGUUUGAAUUAUGAGACCUUAUCCUUUUACAUAGCACCAUUUAAUGGUUUUAACUU